CUAUUUUGUUUUACUUCCAUGUAUUUUACAUCGGGAUCAAAGUUUGUUUAAUUUUAUUAUAUAUAGUUCGAAGAAAAAAAAGCUGCAUGGACUGGUGAAGUCUUAUAUCUUUCAUACCAACACAAUGUGUGCAGAUGUUAACCAUGCUUAAAACUGAGAUAGAAAAGUGUUUGCAUAUAGUUUUAAUUUGUAGACAUUGUCAGAAUUGAUACCCGAGAUCGAAAGGACUAACACCACAGUCUCAGAUGGAAAAACGUGAAAAUGAAGUGAAGGUAGAAAAUAAUUUAGAACGAGGUGAAACAAUCUGGUGCAAUGGCCAUACCGCUGUACGUAGAAAUUUCAAAUUCAAAUGUAUUCGAUAAGAUGUUAGUAUGCAUAAAUCAGUAAAAUUCGUGUUGAGGUUUUAUUUGAUAUGAUACAAUGUCAAUAUACUGUAAUGCAUUAGUAGGAUAUGCAGAAGGCAAGAAUAUAAACAUUUUCUUUUUUCAUUUUCAGUAUCAAUAUCUAUAUGAUCACGAAAAAACAUAUAAUUUAUAUCCGGAUUCAUUUAUACCGAUUUAGAUAUCAAUAAAAACAAAGCUGCAUAGUUUGGGAGAGGGGUUUCUAACGAGUCUGAUGAAAUUAAAAGAAGGAACCCAACAUUUGCAUUCAAACUAGAUGUACUUCAAAAUGAAUUCAUUUCUGCUCUGACUGAAAGCAUGAUUCUAAAUUCGGGAACGAAUCUUGCAUACAAAAUAAUUAAUAGGGGAACACAUAAAUUCGAGCUCCUUUGGAAUUUAAUGAAAUGUAGAUAUGCACCUUUCUUUCAACACGAAUUGAUAUGUUGUUUCAGGCACGAAAACAGGGGGUUGGGGUGGGCAGGAAGGCUGGUCUGCUUUCCCCACUUUUUUUUGACAAUUUACUUUUUUCCCGUUAUUCUAACAUACAAAGUCAGUAUUUUCUACAUGCACAGUUCAAACUAUUUUUUUAAAAUUUGUAAUGAAUUCAAUUAUAAGCAUCAACUUCUGUAAGUUUCCAAUAUAUUGUCAAUCACAAAUUUUUAAAUACAUGUAGCUGGAAAUUUUUAAUGCUUGUAAGCUUACAUUUAUAUAAGUGAUCAAUUUUCUUUCCUUCUGUGAAAUGAUAUAUUUUAAAUCAAAGUAGGACGGUCUCUCUCUCUCUCUCUCUCUCUCUCUCUCUCUCUCUCUCAAUGAAUAUGGACAUAAGAGACCGUAAAUAAUUAUGUGGUUCCAAAAGAGAAAACAAAACUAUAUUUUCGUUUAUAAAUUUCCUUUCAUAUGUGUCUUUGUGUAAUGAACUGUUUAUUAUGGAUUGUAAAUGUAAUACACGCAUUUGCACACAGAUGUGUAUUUUCGAUCAUUAUUCCCUUAUUUGUAUAUCCAAGUUUGUAUAUGAUCAUCAAGAAAAUUUGAAUUGUGCACGCAAUAUAUCCAACCAGAUAUUAGGUUUCCGAUUUCUACAAACUGCAAAACCUCGACCAGACAAGCAUUCAAAACAGGAAAAUUUUUCGACUCUGACACCUCCCCUGAUUGAAGACAACCUGUUUGGCACGGGUGAAGUGUAUCGCAGUCUGUAUAAUGGAAUGAGAACGUGUUGUAAAGUUCUAACGAGAUACAAAUGGAGUUUAUCAUUUUGUUUCGUGGAUUUAUCAGAAUAAAGAGAAUCUAAUAUUUUCGGUAAGUGCACAUCUCCGAUACCUGUUGAAUAGACGCCCGUAUUUGAUACUUUUUUUGGCGAUUAUACCUUGUGCUUUGCAUAUUAUGCAUAUGGCAUGCAUCUUUAUUUUGCAAGAAUUGAUAAAAAUAAUAUAUUUUAUGCUCUUUGUCUAUUCCAUUCUAUCAGUAUGUAAUUGGCAAAUGAGUUAUCCGCAUUUAUUUUAUUAGAAAAUGCAAAUACUUGCAUGCACUUGCAAGUAUGCAAGAAAAGCUUUUUCUUUUUGCAUUUUUGUCUAACUUAUCUAAACUUCCAGAAUGUUGCAUUAGUAUACAAUCAAUAUUUUGUAAUUUUGAGCAAAGCAUAAUGUUUUAAAAUGUUAUUUUAUUUGUUUCUCAUUUCCUUUUUUUACUAUCGGAGAUGUGCACUGGUCGAGUCCACCUAGAAAAAUCACUCAGGUGUGACAAUCACAUUUGGAGUAUAUACGGGUAGAGUAAAUUAGGCUACCUGAGAGAAAUAUGGCGGAUAAGAUGAGAAAGGUGUACGUAUUUAUUAAUUCAUGUCAACUUUAAAUACGUCUGUACACAAACACUCCCAUCCCUAUUCCGCAACCCUAAAUCUUGGCAAAAUUUCGCUAUACUUAAUGUAAUGUUCCAGGUCAGGGGCGGAUCCAGAGGGAGUUCCGGGGGUCGAACCCCCCUCCCGCCCCUUUCGUUUGAUGAUUUUCCUGUAAAAAGUAAAAAAAUAACGCAUUCUGAUGGUGAACUCCCCCAAAAUUCCUGGAUCCGCCCUGCAGUAUUACAUGUUAUCUUGUGCAACCCUUGUAUGUUCAGCUUGAUGGCGUGGCGUCUAUACCACACACCGUCUUUCAAACACUUAUUGAUUUUCUGUCUUCUAAUUAUAGAAUACUUCGAUUUGCAAAAUGUAUGGCGCAAAGGUCUUGACAUUUAAGUUUUACAUAUCAUAAAAUGAAUUAUUUUUUCGUGGUCCUAAAAAGUAUAAUGUAUAAAGUCUUGUCCAAAAAAAAAAGAUAAAUAAAAGACGUCAUUCUUUAUUAGAACACUUCCGCGGUAACAGACACCUGUCCCACAGAAACGGAUACGACUUCUCCAAACUUAUAUCAUAGAAUAGGCCGGCCCAUAAAAAAAAUCAUCCGUAAACAUGAAAGAAUAGUGUAAGUAAAUAUUUUAUAACAAAGAAAGUAAAUAUCUCGCUCUUUUAGGUUGAAAAAACAUGGUGAAUAUUUUGAAAAUGAUAUGGGUCUAUACACCGAUCAACAGAAGUUCGUGACCUUAUAUUCUGACCAAUGAAAUAAGCUGAAAAAAUAAGCUCCGCCCACCACCACUAGUCUCGGACAAACAUCGGACAUGCACCAAUGUUUUGUAUAGUAAACACAGUAAUGCAUCAACUGAUCAUGCGUUAAUAAUACAGUGUGUACGUAUCUUUUUAUAUGAGGAAUGAUUAUACAUUUUUCUCUGAAAUCUGUAAAUCAGACGGUAGGUAUCCAGACAAACUUAAUGGAGCCAAAUUCACACAAUUUCCAUCAACAAAAACGCAAGCUUGCAGAAGUGUAUUCUAUGGAUUGCCUUAUGUCACAGGGCUCAAAAUCAGCUAGAUGUACACAAAAUAACGAAGAUACGUAUCUAUGAACUCGGUAAGUUGAUUUGUUCUGUAUUGUUAUACGCAGACCUUUACAAUCUAGGCACAUAGCAUCGUUUUUCAAGGGGGGGGGGGUGAUAAAUACAAAAUCUUCAAUUUUCAUACACUCUGAUUUACAACUGUCACAGAAGGGGAGAGUCAGAAGAAGUGUAUAUUAGUAAUAAUUAUAUCAUAGUUGAAAAAAAGAAGGAAAGAAAACCUGUCAUUGUAACCUAGGGGAAAAGGAGUCGAUAAGCUGUCGCACUACAUUGCACUUAGCACUACAUGCAUGCAUGUUUGCAAAGUUUUAAAGUACAUACAACUAACAAUCCAGAUUUUGCAGAUCGUACUGUGCUUGUUAGGACUCCAUGAAUUACAUGCGAUCGACAUUGACAAUGAAUGCAUAAAUUUGACGUAUAAAUGUAUUGAACUUUAGUACUUAAGGAGAGAACAGAUAAUAGGUCCUGCGCCUGCUGUUCAAUCCUCUUCCUGUAAUUUAUUUUGCAUGAAUAAAAUAUUUAUUGCCUAUAAACUUUAGUAGCAAAUGUUUCAACAAAAUCAAAACGAUGACACAACAGGGAUCUGCUGAAAAGUAAUUUUGUUUUGUUUUCUUAGCAAUAUGAUGGGUCAAUGGCUGAAUACCAAGCCUCUUCUGACAUUGAACAUGGAAGAAAUGCAGCUAUCAGGAUACAUAUGGAGAUUGGAUAGAAUAAUAAAUCAAAUCAAGUGCCUAAAACCUCUCGUAGAAAAAUUCCUACGCCUCGGUUGACAAUGGUUUUUUUCUCGGAGUGAAUAUUUUCAAUUUAACCCUCAACUACAUGCAAUAUUUAUAUAAUGUAAGUUGUGUGUAGCUACUUCGAAUUCUUCUAAGGUUUUAUUCAUUAGUGAAAUAAGCAUAUUAUUCAACCAUGUUUAUGUUGUGUUGAAAGUUCAGCUCAUGGUUGUUUUAAACAACAGUAUACAAAAUUUUGUUAUUCUAACUAUACAUGUGGAGAAAGUUCUGCAGUUUUAAUCACUCCAUUAAAAUUAUCCAGGUAUUUUGAAUAUGCUAUUUUCUCAUGUCAAAUUCAACCAUUUUCGAAAUAUUGUUGUCAUAUAAGAGAGUGGAGUUGCAUUGUAUGUGAUUGUCUAUUGAAUAUUGAUAAGAGGUAAUGGAAACUUUUGUUUAAUUGCAUCAUCAGAAGUUAAAGAGCAAACAGUAAAUGAUAGUGAUACCAAGUUAUGGACUAAUGAUACAUACUUUAAAAAUAUUGAAUCUUAAUUUUAUCAACAUGUUUUAUUAGAAAUUUUGAGAGAAAACAGAAAACCACAAUUCACACCGUAAGAAACAUUUAAACUGUUCAAAAUUAUAUUCAAUUUUUUUAAUUAUUGAAUUUCAAAGACCAUAUUUAUUGAAGGUACUUCAAAAAGCUUCCUAUUCUUAUUUAUAAUCAGUUUGUAUGAAGAAACUAAUACGGACAUGCUAUUUCAAGGAUAAAUCCUUCUAAUGGAUUGUUGUAAACCAUUAUGCUAUUGCAGCAAAUACUAAUAUAUUUUUUGUGAGUAAAUGUUGUUUAUUGGUUAGGAAUUUAUAGGCAUGUAAAUAUAUCAGUAUCCAUACUACAAGAACUCACGAAUAUAAAAAAAGAAAGCAUCACAAAAAUCUGGCUAUAUAUCAUUAUACAAAAAUCUAUUUUUGCAGCAAAUAUAAGAGUGGCAGUAGUAAAUCAAGUUUAAACAUGCAUAUUGGAAAAAUAAUCAAGGUUUACAUCAGAAAUUUUAUAUGAAUGGAAAAUUUCGUACCACCUUUCAUUUCAAAACCUUUGAUAGUUGUGAUCAUUAUAUUUAUUAAAAUAAACAGAAUUGCUAAUGAAUGA
This is an RNA transcript of Ostrea edulis (European flat oyster), 5147 nucleotides long. It is a transcript of the gene named proteoglycan 4-like, with no coding region annotated. Lineage: Eukaryota; Metazoa; Mollusca; Bivalvia; Ostreida; Ostreidae. The record is from RefSeq and is a predicted model, not a curated record. The transcript is spliced from 2 exons.